Long non-coding RNA from Fundulus heteroclitus (mummichog), 968 nucleotides. RefSeq lists it as uncharacterized. Lineage: Eukaryota; Metazoa; Chordata; Actinopteri; Cyprinodontiformes; Fundulidae. The transcript is spliced from 3 exons. The record is from RefSeq and is a predicted model, not a curated record.
AAGCCAUUUUAUGGCGUCUGCUGCCAGACAUUUCAUUAGGUAAGCCUUUACCGUAAAUGGGUGGGGCUAACAGCUAGAACCCGUUUAAAGACUUCCUGUACAAGUUAACCAAUCAGAUGCCAGGCUUUUAGACGACUCAUGGUGACGGUUUCAUUUCACAGCAACAACAGGAUAAACUGCAACUAGCGUCAAAUUACUUCAGUGAACAGGUAACAGCGGCACAUCACAGCGAGCUCCUCUACGCAGAGGAGGGCGUGGGUUGGGCCACCAACAAUGGAAACAGGAAGUAUUACAGAGGAUGGCCAACUCUGGAGCUGAAAGAGCAGCUUCAACCAGCUGGGGGAGAAGAGGAGCGGCGAAACCCAAACGGCCGGCUGUGCGGCCGCCUUUUUUCCUUUUACCUCAGCAAACAUGAAGGAUCGCAUUCAAAGCCAAUAUCAGAAAUGUUUGGAGCUACACAAACUGACCAUUAACAUCUACAAUGCUAUUUAAUAGACUUAAUGUAACCUGCUCUCAUGGACUUCAGACAAAAAGCUCACUUGUGCAACUUUCAAUUUGAAGAAAUAAGCCACAAAUAAAGAUACAUUUACCUAAUAUUGUUUUCCCUUGCUAUUAUGUUAAAUCUAAAAUUAAAUAUAAAUUUAAAAACUAAAGAUUUCAGUUAAUGUUAAUAUCUGAAGCAUAAGCUUGUAUUUCGGGGUCUAUGAAUUUGCAAAUCCCACUCCAGAGGUGUCAGUGCCUCACCAGCCAUGAACCUCAUCACACAACGUAAAGGUAUACGUUUGUAUAAAAGGAACUUAAGUAACAAAGCAGGGACGGUUUGCUCCUGCAAGGCAGCUAAUGCCUCACAGGUUUCAAUAUUUGAUCCACGGGUUAAAGCAGACAGCAACAUUAUAAAAACUAAGCUUUAUUAUCACCAGGUACUCUGUGCCCGUUAAAGUUCUGGUCCAGCCAUUUUAGUAAGUGCA